Caerostris darwini is the source of this 76-nucleotide non-coding RNA. The record is from the annotation of a GenBank genome assembly. NCBI's taxonomy places the organism in Eukaryota, Metazoa, Arthropoda, Arachnida, Araneae, Araneidae.
CGAUCACCGAAGUUAAGCAUCAUUGGGCGUGGUCAGUACUUUGGUGGGUGACCACCUGGGAACACUGCGUGCCGUU